RNAcentral lists this ribosomal RNA (339 nucleotides) under Enterococcus faecium. Its description in RNAcentral is "partial 23S ribosomal RNA". It matches the Rfam family "Bacterial large subunit ribosomal RNA", at positions 2094 to 2432 of the family's 2925-position model. Lineage: Bacteria; Bacillati; Bacillota; Bacilli; Lactobacillales; Enterococcaceae. The record is from RNAcentral.
UGGAGCUUUACUGUAGCCUGAUAUUGAAAUUCGGCACAGCUUGUACAGGAUAGGUAGGAGCCUUUGAAACGUGAGCGCUAGCUUACGUGGAGGCGCUGGUGGGAUACUACCCUAGCUGUGUUGGCUUUCUAACCCGCACCACUUAUCGUGGUGGGAGACAGUGUCAGGCGGGCAGUUUGACUGGGGCGGUCGCCUCCUAAAAGGUAACGGAGGCGCUCAAAGGUUCCCUCAGAAUGGUUGGAAAUCAUUCAUAGAGUGUAAAGGCAUAAGGGAGCUUGACUGCGAGACCUACAAGUCGAGCAGGGUCGAAAGACGGACUUAGUGAUCCGGUGGUUCCGC